This is a long non-coding RNA of Carassius auratus (goldfish), 1045 nucleotides long. RefSeq lists it as uncharacterized. Lineage: Eukaryota; Metazoa; Chordata; Actinopteri; Cypriniformes; Cyprinidae. The transcript has 4 exons. The record is from RefSeq and is a predicted model, not a curated record.
CAUGAUUAAAAAUUUAAAAGCUAUACUCACCCAAAAAGAGAAAUAAACCACUUUCACAUGCUACUCGAUAUCAGUCGUGCCCCUAAAUCCGUAGAAACACUGCACAGCGCGCUGCAGCCGCCCCGCCUCCCCUCUCCUCUCCACCAAUCACAGCUGCAGGAGCCAGACAAGAGGCGGAGUCAGACUCAGCAGGUCACGGGAGGUGGCGCUGUGCGCGUGCGCGUUCGCUGAGGACGUUUCCAUGGAGUCUUUCAGAAGCACGAGGCGCCGAGAAAAGACUAGUGUGCGCGGAAUGACGUAAUGUGAUGGACUGAAGCCGCUGUAGCGCCGGUUCUUCGUGCACUGCCUGCAUCUGCUGCUCCGCAUCCCUCAGCGGACACUCUGCACUCUUGUUUAGGACCCAUUCUGGAGCAAAAAUACCUUCUUUGGAUUUGUGAUUUUUGAGGAUUUUACAAGACCGCGAUGUAAAGCUGCAAGAACAUGCCACUGUGUCAUCUGGAAGUUUUCAAAUCAUCAGGAAGAUGAAUACAGAAAUGUGUAAUUAUGAAGUUGGGGUAACCUUCCCCCCUUCUCGAUGCCUGUCACAGAGCAGCCAUGCUGGGCUUCAUCUGAAGGGAUGCACCAUGGUGUGAGCACACGUCUGUCCUACCCCAGACUCAAUGAAUCGCACCAAUGAAUGGACAUUACUGUGGCAAAGGGAAUUAGCUUGCUUGCAUAGGGACUUUGGAUUUGGGAAUACUGGAACCGGUCAGAGAGCGCUGGAUUUUCUUUUGAAGAAGUGCAGCAGAUUCUUCAAGGAGUGUUUUUGGAAGAUGUCUGAGAAGGGAGCUGAGGCGUCUACAACUCAGCCCCAAAAGCGGAAGCAGGUGAUUCACGGUCUGGAAGAUCAGAAACAGGUUGGUGCUUUGACUUGAGGUGACAGAUAACAUAAUGUCUUAUGCAUGACUACAGUGUUUCCGAAAUGUAAAGGUACUUGAUCUUGUCCUAAACACCCCUUAUUUGCUUUCAAAUAUUUCAGUUUUCAAACAGGACUGUGUCUGUUUGA